RNAcentral lists this ribosomal RNA (161 nucleotides) under Cuscuta umbellata. Its description in RNAcentral is "5.8S ribosomal RNA". It matches the Rfam family "5.8S ribosomal RNA". Rfam says of the family: 5.8S ribosomal RNA (5.8S rRNA) is a component of the large subunit of the eukaryotic ribosome. It is transcribed by RNA polymerase I as part of the 45S precursor that also contains 18S and 28S rRNA. Lineage: Eukaryota; Viridiplantae; Streptophyta; Magnoliopsida; Solanales; Convolvulaceae. The record is from RNAcentral.
AGACUCUUGGCAAUGGAUAUCUCGGCUCUUGCAUCGAUGAAGAACGUAGCGAAAUGCGAUACUUGGUGUGAAUUGCAGAAUCCCGUGAACCAUCGAAUCUUUGAACGCAAGUCGCGCCUGCAGCCAAUUAGGCCGAGGGCACGUUUGCUUGGGUGUCAUGC